RNAcentral lists this ribosomal RNA (303 nucleotides) under uncultured bacterium. Its description in RNAcentral is "partial 16S ribosomal RNA". It matches the Rfam family "Bacterial small subunit ribosomal RNA", at positions 507 to 807 of the family's 1533-position model. The record is from RNAcentral.
AGCAGUAGCCGCGGGAAAACAGAGGGUGCGAGCGUUAAUCGGAUUUACUGGGCGUAAAGCGUGCGUAGGCGGCUUUUUAAGUCGGAUGUGAAAUCCCUGAGCUUAACUUAGGAAUUGCAUUCGAUACUGGGAAGCUAGAGUAUGGGAGAGGAUGGUAGAAUUCCAGGUGUAGCGGUGAAAUGCGUAGAGAUCUGGAGGAAUACCGAUGGCGAAGGCAGCCAUCUGGCCUAAUACUGACGCUGAGGUACGAAAGCAUGGGGAGCAAACAGGAUUAGAUACCCCGGUAGUCCCUGUCUCUUAUAC